RNAcentral lists this ribosomal RNA (468 nucleotides) under Cecidonius pampeanus. Its description in RNAcentral is "partial 16S ribosomal RNA". The record is from RNAcentral. Lineage: Eukaryota; Metazoa; Arthropoda; Insecta; Lepidoptera; Cecidosidae.
UAAGGGCUGCAGUAUUUUGACUGUACUAAGGUAGCAUAAUAAAUAGUCUUUUAAUUGGAGACUUGUAUGAAUGAUUGGAUAAAAUAUAAACUGUCUUAAGUUAAUGUGAAAAAUUUAAUUUUUUUUUAAAAAAGAAAAAAUUUAUUUAAAAGACGAGAAGACCCUAUAGAGUUUUAUAAUUUUUUAUUUAUUUAAAAUUAUAAAUUUUUAUAUUUAUAAAUAAAUUAAUUUAUUUUAUUGGGGUGAUAGUAAAAUUUAAUUAACUUUUAUUUUAAAAAAACAUAAAUUUAUGAAUAUUAUAUCUUUUUUCGAUAAAAGAUUAAAUUACCUUAGGGAUAACAGCGUAAUUUUUUUUUUUAGUUCAUAUAAAAAAAAUAGUUUGCGACCUCGAUGUUGGAUUAAAAUAAAAUUUAAAUGUAAAGAUUUAAUAUUUUUAAUCUGUUCGAUUAUUAAAAUUUUACAUGAUCU